UCUUUCAUAACAUGUUUUUUCUCUCAAAUUCAGUGUUUUAGCACGCACGCUGACUUAAUUCCUCCAGUAAUUAUUUACAUAGAUUUGUUGGUUUGUAGGGGGAAAGAGUGGGUGGAUAAGAUUAUCUUGGGCUAACCGAUAUACUGGUUAUUAUAGCGCUACUUCCAGAACGUCUUUCUCCGAUCGACGGCAACACUGCCGUCAUUCAAAUAUCAACACUCCGGCCCCUCGCGUAACUGCCCGCCAUGGCUCCAAAUCUCUAAUGUGCGGCCUGCUGUGUUUGUGGGAAAAAACGAAGAACACACACUGGUGGGAAGCUCCAUUUAUUCCCAAAGGAUGUCAGAAGGUGCCUCCAGUGGGUGAAAGCCUUGAAAAUUGGCUUUCAAAAGCAUACUCAAGCCAUCUGUAGUGACCACUUUGAUGGGGUUCAUUUUGGCAGCAAAGGCCAGCUGCUGCCGACUGCAACCCCACGUCACACAGAUGGCCAUGAGGAGCAACCACCCACUGGGUUCCUGGCAUCAUCCCACAAUGCAGCUGCCAUUGACUUGGAGCCAAUGGAGUUGGAACUCUCCUCUACACAGAUUGUGCUGCCACAUUAUGAUCCGAACACAGCUUUCGGUAACACCCAAGAGAAUGUGGCAGCCCAAGAGGAGAGUCCAAGAAAGAGGCCAUGGGUGGAGUUAAAUAGAACUCAGCCACCCCCUGAGGAAUGUGGCAGUAUCCAACCCCACCUGCUCAGUGUCCCCCAAGCCACACAUGAAAAUGAACUGCAGCCUGACCCUGAUGAGUGUGCUCCCCAUUGCACUGCACCAGCUCCAUGUGCUGAUUUUGGGUGUGAAACUGAAGGGGUUGGAGGAAACCCGACUCGGCCAUCAAGCUCACCAAAAUACAGUAAGCAACCUCUUGUGCUCAGUGAUAAUUUAUCCUCUAGUUACUGUUCAGUGUUGUUAUGACCACAUUUAAUGUGUUGGAAACAUUACAGCUUAAUAAUAUACCUCACAUCCCUGCAUACAAAUUGAAUUCAAUAUUUAACUGUUACACCAGUACAUAUCUUAAGAAAAUAUAUGUAAAAAGGUUGAUAUUUUGAAUGAUAUUUAAACUGUUUAUUAUAUUCUUAUGGCAGUAAUGAGUCAUCAGAACAUAGGUCUUAUGUUCUUGAUAGCAUAGGUCCAAAUUUUGCCAUAGGCUGGCAAUUGAUAGUAACAGUAGUGUCCACAAAUACCUGCCUGUCUCUUGUUUAUCCUGUUCCACUUUAAACCAUGACUGGUCAAGCUUUGAAGGGGUAGCAUAACCCUGAAGUGCCACUAACAAACAUUUGUCCAUGCUACUGAUGUGAUCAUGUUUACCAUUCACUCCCAAACAUGGCAGCACCCUAGAAAUGAGGUCAAUAUCCCUGCUAUUUAAUAUCCCAUCUUUAAUCACAUACUCAGGCUUUUCCUUGUAUUAUGAAACCAAAAAAUGUGAUUCUUCAUACGUUAUUCUUAAAGGAUAGUCGUGAGUAUCAGGGAAAUGGGAGCUACAAGGAACAGUAUUAUUCUCUAAACUUAAUGUAUGCAUGGGAGACAUGAGGCUGAACCAUUCCACAUCACCCACAUUACACUGGAUGGACAUGUGGAAGAGCUGGGAUAAUAAUUGAAUUAUGAUCUAUGCAAAUGUUCAAAUGGUUUUAAUAAGUAAUAAGGAUUAGUUUGUUGGGUAAAGUGGCACAUCCCGGAGACCACCAGUUUAAUGGAUUAUAAUUGUGAAAAGGAAAGUUAGAUAGCAGGCAGGAUUUGGGUAUGACUAACAUUGCAGAAACAGAUCUGACUGGGGAUGUGUUACGAGUGGGGUCCCACAAGGUUCGGUAUUAGGUCCACUUUUGUUUAUUAUUUAUAUCAAUGACUUAGACACAGGAAUUAGUAGUGAUGUUAGUAAAUUUGCAGAUGAUACCAAGAUCGGUAGAGUAAUUGAGUCGGAUCAGGACGCUAGUAUUCUCCAAGGUGAACUCAACAGAUUAUAUGACUGGGCGGAUAAAUGGCAGAUGGAGUUCAAUGUAGGGAAGUGCAGUAUUCUGAGUGUAGGUAGGAACAACCCCUCACAUAACUAUUGCUUAAAUGACACUCAUAAGUAGGUCUGGGUGCGAGAGGGAUUUAGGGGUCUUAGUGAGCUCUGAUCUCCGUCCAAGGGCACAAUGCAUUCAAGCUAGAAAUCGAGCUAAUAGGGUACUGGGAUUUAUUUCAAGGAGCGUAAGCAACAGAAGCCCCGAAGUCUUCCUCAAACUAUAUUUAGCAUUAGUUAGACCUCAUCUUGACUAUGCGGUUCAGUUCUGGUCACCUUACUAUAGAAUGGAUAUCAAAAUGUUAGAAUCAGUGCAGAGGAGGAUGACUAAGAUGAUUCAGGGGUUGAGAAACUUGCCAUACGAGGAAAGACUCAAACAGUUAAACUUGCAUUCUCUAGAAAGGCGAAGGGUGCGUGGAGACAUGAUCGAGGUUUAUAAAUGGAUGAAGGGCUUUAAUAAGGGAGACAUUCAUAAGGUUUUGUUGGUAAGAGAACCGGGUAGGACACGAAGUAACGGGUUUAAACUGGAUAAAUUCAGAUUCAACAGGGACAUAGGCAAAAAUUGGUUUACUAACAGGGUGGUGGAUGAGUGGAAUAGGCUUAGCAGUCAUGUGGUGAGUGCCAAUACAAUUGUCACAUUCAAAAAUAGACUAGAUAAAUUCAUGGACAGCGAUAUUAGGUGGGGUUAGAUACACGGGAGCUUAGGGUCAAAGGAGCUGCCUCGUACAGGCCUACCGGCCUCUUGCAGACUCCUGCGUUCUUAUGUUCUUAUGUUCUUAGAGAAUUUUUUGAUUUUUAGUGUGGCACCAUUUUGACGUAUGUUUCAGUAGAGAUUGAACACCAGAGAUGUAUAUGGAUAAUCAGUGCUUGUAGAUCUUGAUAUUAUUUCUGUCAAGUCUCCAGUUGUACCCUCUCCCCCAUCUGGAAAUACUACUCUUGUCAGGUAAUCUAACUAAAGCCUUUCCAGUCUAAGCUGGUGUGCAGAUAAAAUGUCAUUGCUUGGAUUCACUGUCCUAAUAGCAAUAAUAAUGCAUUAACAUGCACAUAUUUUAUUAUUUAGAAUCAUGAGAAGAGUGCUGUGAAAUUUAACUUUUAAUAUUGGUGUAUGCAUCUUCAGAGACAUCAAAACUGCAAUUGAUAAAGAAGACGGUCUGCCGUCUGCGCCGGCAGGUGAGGUAGCUCAAAGCUCAGGCCAUUACCACUCCUGGGCAGUUUUUGGCCAAAGCCAGCAAUUUCCUAGAUCCAAAAGUGGUGGAUUUUUUCAAAGGACAGGUUCAACAUGCUGCAAGAUCUAAGCCUGGUAGGAGAUAUGGGGUACAAGAGAGGAGGUUUGCUCUGGCCUUGCACUAUCAAAGUCCAAAGGCUUAUCGAAUUCUCAGCACAGUAUUUCAUUUGCCUUCAGUUUCAACACUUCACUCAUGGCUCAGGGGUAUUUCACUAAAUGUUGGCUGGAGCAAACAGACUCUGACAGCCCUGAAGAAAAGAGCACAGGCUUUGUCAAAAGAAGAGACACUUUGUGGGAUUGCAUUUGAUGCCAUGAGUAUUAAAGAAUCAUUGCAUUUUGACAAAGCCUCUGAUUUUACUUCAUCAAAUCGCCGUUCGGCUGGAGGAAUCCUCCACAUGAGAAAGCUUCACGCGCCGCCGCCAGAUCAGUUGCUUCACAGUUGCCACGCCGGAAGGACGUCAGCAGGGCUCCGUCCUGGUUUUCAACUCAACCAAUAGGCCACGUGCUUGUUACGCAGGUACAGAGCCUCCUGCCCGUCAUCCUAUGUUAGGAGCGGGCAGGGCCUUGCAAGUGGCUGUUUCUACAAUAUUGUGUGGGCUGCAAGGCGACUUAUUUGUGUUGUGUUGUCUCGGCAGGCUGCGCCGGCCGCCGGCCAUGUCUGAUCAGUCCCGGGUAGCUGGGGGCCCUCAACAGGUGUCCCCACGGCCACGUUCGGAGUCGAGGCGAGGUGAACCAUACCUUGCCUCAGGGGGCUCGGGAUCGUCGCUGGACGAGAUGAGGCCACAUGCUCCUGGUAACAGUCAUGGUGGUAGCGGGCGCUCGUAUCAGCUGAUAGGUGCCCAUAAACCACUUCGGCCCCACAGGCGUGCUCGGCCAGCUGCGCCCCCGUCCCCACCUGCCCCCUGGAACAUGGUUUUGGAGGCCAUUUCGGAGCUACGAGGUGAGGUGAACAAGCUAAAGGAGGACAGGCAGCCUGCCCCUCGUGUGGCUCCUGUGGUGAACGAGGGUGCGGGUACAUCACGUGAUGCGUGCCGUCCUCUGUCUCCUCGUCCUGGCUCUUUCUCAGGGUUUAUGGAUUCAGGCAGUGAGGAUGGUGAGAUUAGAGUGUUUGCCCCAGGCAGUAGUGCUCUCAUGCUCAUUGCUGGGGGCCAAAUCUUUUGGUCCACAGGAGUUGGUAUCAGAGGAUAUUGACACACAAGUUGCGGACAUGGUGAAUUACGUGUUCGACAGCGGCAUGAGGGAGGAGGACUACAAGGACAUCUGUGAGGACGACAUUGUGAAGAGGCCGGCCAACUGUCACGCACUCGCACCUGUGGAAUGUAACACGCAGGUGUUUGAAGCCCUCAGAGUAGAUGCUAGGAAGGCAGACUGUCGCCUAAAAGAAGUCAACAAGGACAUCCUGAGAGCGGCGACCAUUAUUACAAAAUCCCUCUUGGUACUUGACAAGGUAGCUACUGAUGAGGGGAACGCUGUGGUGGCUCGCGAGGUCGGAAUGAUUAAUGGCGCACUGGCUUUGUUGGGUCAUGCAAACCACAGGAACAACCUAGCAAGGCGGCUGGUCAUGAAACGGGAGAUAAACCGUAAGUACUCGCACCUUUGCUCAGACAGGGUGCCUAUGACCCGCUUCCUCUUUGGAGAUGACGUGUCACAGUCGGCCAAGAAUAAUGAAGACGCGGAGAAGCUUAAGCACAAGAUUACCACCAAGAAGUCUUCUUUGGCCUGGCGAUUCCCUGGGGGGAGGACGAGGAGUUCUUGGAGUAAAGCACCAAACAGGAGCUUCUCAUCCAGGUUCCAGCCUUAUGGUUUGCCGAGGACAGGCUACAGGGGCAAUCAACGACCUGCACAGGCGAGGCAGGACACGGAUCCAAAAAACGCGAAAGGCCGGGGGCACAAGGCUCGUCAGUAAUUGAGGCAAGUAAGGACUUUGAAGCAGGUAGACUGCACUAUUUUGUUUCUGAGUGGCAGAAAUUUACACAAGACCCAUUUGUUUUGGACAUUGUUCAGCAUUGCCACCUUAAUAUCAGUGUAGAGGACAUAGAACAUCUUUACUUUAAAGAGGUUGAAUACCCAUUUAAUAAGGAACAGCAACAAUGCAUUUCUAAGGAAAUUAGCAAGCUCUUGCAACUCAAGGUCAUUCAGGUUACUCAAAGGACUGACGAUCAAAUUAUUUCCCCCAUAUUCUUAAGGAAGAAGCCAAAUGGUGAAUACAGACUUGUGCUUAAUUUGAAAGAGUUAAACUUACACAUCCCAUACAAACAUUUCAAAAUGGAGAAUUUUGAGCAGGCAAUCAAACUUAUUCAUGCGGGUGACUAUUUGGCUUCAGUGGACCUUAGGCAUGCUUAUUACUCAGUGAAGGUUGCAGAGGAACAACAAAAAUUUCUUUGUUUCACCUGGCACGGUACUGUUUACAAAUUUACAUGUUUGCCAAAUGGA
Long non-coding RNA from Eriocheir sinensis (Chinese mitten crab), 5695 nucleotides. RefSeq lists it as uncharacterized. NCBI's taxonomy places the organism in Eukaryota, Metazoa, Arthropoda, Malacostraca, Decapoda, Varunidae. The record is from RefSeq and is a predicted model, not a curated record. The transcript is spliced from 6 exons.